ACCACUGUUUUGACAGCCAAGGAGAAGAGAUUGUCAUUGAAUAGACUAGUGAUACCUGUGUGGUUAUGAGCUUUUGGGGGGGGGGGAUACUGGACACAAACACACAUGUCUCACAGCAAGGUCGAUUGUCAUCACAAUGGAUUAAUGUCUGAGGAGCUGCAGGGAAAAGACAGCGGAGCUUGCUACACUUACCGCUCUGUCAGAGCAAGUCCGGAAGAGAGAGAGAAAAGGGAAAAGAGAGCGAGAAAGACGGGGGAAUGCACAGCACAGGACAUGGGUGACUAACUAAACCCACUCAUACAGAACGAGAACCUUGGCUGAUCUUUACAAAAAUCAGUGAGAGCAAGGGAAUGCAAAGCCAGGGCCAGGAGGAACCUUCUCUGUUCUCCUGUCUCUUCUCCACUUCCCCAAAAGCAACCGAGAGCCAUUUUUCAAGGGGGAAAUGAUUAAGGAGGAAGUGAGAAGAUGAGGUUUGGAGAGUCUGGAGAUUCUCACGCUUCAGGUAGAAACUUCUACCUAUUCUGAUUGGCACAGUUGACGUUGGGUUUUGAGAACUUUAGCUCUGAAUAUAAAUGGGGAAGCGACAGCCAAAAAAGAGGAAUCUAAGGCAUAUUUUUAAGUGAAUCAGGCGAUACAAAUUGUGACAAUGCACAUACUGUAUUAUCAACAGACAGAAUGACAGUGAGGUAGAUAGAAUGAAAGGGAGUGAGUGAGAUUGAAACAGAGAAUGAAAAAGAGAGUAAGACGGAGUGAGUGAAAGUAAGAUGAAGAGAAAGAAAGUGUUAAAGAGAGAGAGAGGUUGAAGAGAGUCAGAGAGAGAGACCAGUUAUAUGGACUUCAGACUCCCACAGGCAUAGAAUCACAACCAGACUCACCGACAGACUGACAGACAGAGACUGAAAGAGACUCACAGGCAGAUACUCACAGGCAGAGACUCACAGGCAGAGACUCACAGACACACAGAGACUGAAAGAGACUCGCAGGCAAGAGACUCACAGGCAAGAGACUCACAGGCAAGGGACUCACAGACACACCGACAGACUCACAGACAGAGCAUGAAUCCCCCUGCUGGAACCUCAUGGCUACUACACCUAUCACAAGCUGCCCAAUGAACAGUGCACAAACAGAACCAAACUAACCAGAAAGACAUGUAGAUUAUACAUGCUUUGACAAUUAGUCAUAUAUCUGGAGCUACAUUUAUUCAGAAUCUAGACGUAGUCACCCCACCACAUCAAAAGAAUACCAUAUCUUCAUAUUUCCCAAAUUAAAAGAAGUACAGCCAACACUCAAUUCCAUCUGGAAUGAAUGACCCCUAUAAGAAUGGUUCUAUCUGACCUACAAAGUCCCCAACCUCUGCCUGCUUAUCCCUCCCUCAUCUGUCUUUAGUGCAACAACUCCUGCUGACCUCUGACCUCUGUGUUCCCAUCUCCAUUAGAGGGCUUUAAUACAUUGAUGGUGCUUCUGCUGCUCUGGCCUUCCUGGGGCUUAGGCUACUGUGCAUUUUGAAUAUUGUGUGUGGAGAGAGAUGGUGCUUUGCUUUCAGACUUAUUGUACUGCCAUACAUUG
This is a non-coding RNA of Oncorhynchus mykiss (rainbow trout), 1566 nucleotides long. The record is from RefSeq and is a predicted model, not a curated record. Lineage: Eukaryota; Metazoa; Chordata; Actinopteri; Salmoniformes; Salmonidae.